AACAUUUGCUCAAAAUAAAUAAAAAGAUGCUUGUUUUUCUUCAAUAGUUAUAAGCCGUUGUGCUUUCUUAUAUUUUUAUUGAUAUGUAUUGUUUUAUUCUAGAUGAGAGAAGUGCAGAGGAAAUCAUUUGUCUUGACAUGCUAAAAGAGGAGAUAAUGCACAGUAGCAACUAUAUUGCUAGGUAAGAAUCCGAAGUGUAUUUGAUUUUAAAAAUGUCAAUAUAUAUUUGAUCAAAUGAAUGAUAUUAAGCAUGAAAAGAAGUUUUAUAUUAAAAAUAUCAAUUUACUCAUCAGUACAUUUAUGCUUUUAUACCACGGUUCUAAUGUUGUUAUCUUGAUCUUAAAUCAUGCAUUUACUUUUUGGUGUUGUAGUUCGUAUACUUAUAUUUUUAGAUUAAUUCUACUUAGUUGCUUAUCAAUAUUUUUCUAUCUUUCAGGCCAGUGACCAGCAGUUGGGUACUAAGAAAGGAGAAGCUCUUAUUGACUUGUAAAAUGAAAACAGGAC
This 504-nucleotide long non-coding RNA is filed under the name Mytilus galloprovincialis (Mediterranean mussel). Lineage: Eukaryota; Metazoa; Mollusca; Bivalvia; Mytilida; Mytilidae. The record is from RNAcentral.